Rhododendron vialii is the source of this 268-nucleotide long non-coding RNA. RefSeq lists it as uncharacterized. The record is from RefSeq and is a predicted model, not a curated record. The transcript is spliced from 2 exons. NCBI's taxonomy places the organism in Eukaryota, Viridiplantae, Streptophyta, Magnoliopsida, Ericales, Ericaceae.
CAAGAGUAAGAGAAGUCCAAAUCUCACAUGCCUUUGUAGCAGAAGAGUGAGUAUUUGUCAAAGUUGAAUAUUGUUACUACUAAAUUGACACCACUUGGUACAAGGUGUCGUUGCCUUUGUGAAUCUCAUCAGCCUCGUAAAUCAGAUCAAUCGCCCACUUCUUUACACACGUGUUAGGAUGAGUUACAUCUAUUGGGAUCUCCACUCCAUCAAGGCCAGUUUUAUACAUUUGGAUCUCCACUUCAUCACCGCCUUCUAAUUGCAAUCC